AUGGCCGCCGUCACGGCCGCGGCCGUCUCCCUCCGGGCCGCAACCACCACCUCCACCUCCCCGUCCAGCGCGCCGCAGCACUCCCACUGCAGCUUCCCGUGCGCCGCAAGAACGACCGCCGUCUCCCGCCGCGGCGUGCUCACCGUCCGGGCGCAGGCCGUCUCCACGGAUGCGGCGCCGGUGAAGGAGAAGAAGGUGUCCAAGAAGCAGGAGGAGGGGGUGGUGACCAACAAGUUCCGGCCCAAGGAGCCGUACGUGGGCAAGUGCCUGCUCAACACCAAGAUCACCGCGGACGACGCGCCCGGGGAGACGUGGCACAUGGUCUUCUCCACCGACGGCGAGGUGCCCUACAAGGAGGGCCAGUCCAUCGGCGUCGUCGCCGACGGCCAGGACAAGAACGGCAAGCCCCACAAGCUCCGCCUCUACUCCAUCGCCAGCAGCGCCCUCGGCGACUUCGGCGACGCCAAGACCGUCUCGCUGUGCGUCAAGCGGCUCGUCUACACCAACGACGCCGGGGAGGUCGUCAAGGGCGUCUGCUCCAAUUUCCUGUGCGACCUGAAGCCCGGUGCCGAUGUCAACAUAACAGGGCCGGUAGGCAAAGAAAUGCUCAUGCCUAAAGACCCAAAUGCUACUAUCAUCAUGCUCGCGACAGGGACCGGUAUCGCGCCAUUCCGGUCAUUCUUGUGGAAGAUGUUCUUUGAGAAGUAUGAAGACUACAAGUUCAAUGGCCUAGCCUGGCUCUUCUUGGGAGUUCCGACCAGCAGCUCUCUGCUCUACCCAGAGGAGUUUGGGAAGAUGAAGGCGAAGGCGCCGGACAACUUCCGGGUCGACUACGCCAUCAGCAGGGAGGAGACCAACGCGGCGGGAGAGAAGAUGUACAUCCAGACCAGGAUGGCAGAGUACAAGGAUGAGCUGUGGGAGCUUCUGAAGAAAGACAACACCUAUGUGUACAUGUGUGGACUGAAGGGCAUGGAGAAGGGUAUUGAUGAGAUCAUGAUCCCAUUGGCUUCAAAAGAAGGGAUCGACUGGAUAGACUACAGGAAGCAACUGAAGAAGUCGGAGCAAUGGAACGUCGAAGUCUACUGA
RNAcentral lists this ribosomal RNA (1086 nucleotides) under Triticum aestivum (bread wheat). RNAcentral describes it as "partial small subunit ribosomal RNA". Lineage: Eukaryota; Viridiplantae; Streptophyta; Magnoliopsida; Poales; Poaceae. The record is from RNAcentral.